RNAcentral lists this non-coding RNA (96 nucleotides) under uncultured Limosilactobacillus sp. RNAcentral's name for it is "TPP riboswitch (THI element)". It matches the Rfam family "TPP riboswitch aptamer (THI element)", at positions 8 to 91 of the family's 105-position model. Rfam says of the family: Vitamin B(1) in its active form thiamin pyrophosphate (TPP) is an essential coenzyme that is synthesised by coupling of pyrimidine and thiazole moieties in bacteria. The previously detected thiamin-regulatory element, thi box was extended, resulting in a new, highly conserved RNA secondary structure, the THI element, which is widely distributed in eubacteria and also occurs in some archaea. The record is from RNAcentral. Lineage: Bacteria; Bacillati; Bacillota; Bacilli; Lactobacillales; Lactobacillaceae.
UAAACGGGGAGCUUGUAUAACAGGCUGAGAGGAAGAUGUGAUCUUCGACCCAUGGGACCUGAUUUGGAUAAUGCCAACGGAGGGAAUUCAAUUAAG